CUACAUAAUUAAUUUCCCAGUGUAGGAUGAAUUUAAAUUUUAAUGACUUUAUUGAGAAUUUUGCUGUUAAUUUUACAAUGAGAAACUAUAAUCACUGUUACACAACUGGAAAUAUUUAAAACAAGAACAGCAAUCCCCUAUUUUUUUGAUUUUUUCUGUUCCAAAUUCAGUUCCUGAGAUGGAUGUUCAGCCUCAGCUUCAUUUUCAUCUUCCCACACGUAACUUAGAUGGGUUGUUUCACAGUGAGUUCUGAAUUUGGGAAUUCAGCAUACUGGUUCUCCCCUCUCAAGGUUUCCUGCAAAUCCAACCACAAAACUCUUUCUGAUUCACCUCUCUCUGUUUUGAUAUAUGCAUUAAUUAUGUUUUGAGAAGUCUCAUUCUGUUAUUA
Molecule: long non-coding RNA, 388 nt
Filed under: Gallus gallus (chicken)
Lineage: Eukaryota; Metazoa; Chordata; Aves; Galliformes; Phasianidae
Source: RNAcentral